RNAcentral lists this ribosomal RNA (253 nucleotides) under uncultured bacterium. RNAcentral's name for it is "partial 16S ribosomal RNA". It matches the Rfam family "Bacterial small subunit ribosomal RNA", at positions 524 to 776 of the family's 1533-position model. The record is from RNAcentral.
UACGGAGGGUGCAAGCGUUAAUCGGAAUUACUGGGCGUAAAGGACACGCAGGCGGUCUGUUAAGUCAGAUGUGAAAUCCCCGGGCUUAACCUGGGAACUGCGUUUGAGACUGGCAGGCUGGAGUCUUGUAGAGGGGGGUAGAAUUCCAUGUGUAGCGGUGAAAUGCGUAGAGAUGUGGAGGAAUACCGGUGGCGAAGGCGGCCCCCUGGACAAAGACUGACGCUCAUGUGCGAAAGCGUGGGGAGCAAACAGG